UACGAGGGGGGCAAGCGUUGUUCGGAGUUACUGGGCGUAAAGGGUGCGUAGGCGGCUUUUUAAGUUUGGUGUGAAAUCUCCCGGCUCAACUGGGAGGGUGCGCCGAAUACUGAGAGGCUAGAGUGCGGGAGAGGAAAGUGGAAUUCCUGGUGUAGCGGUGAAAUGCGUAGAUAUCGGGAGGAACACCUGUGGCGAAGGCGGCUUUCUGGGCCCUACCUGACGCUGAGACGCGAAAGCGUGGGGAGCGAACCGG
RNAcentral lists this ribosomal RNA (253 nucleotides) under uncultured bacterium. Its description in RNAcentral is "partial 16S ribosomal RNA". It matches the Rfam family "Bacterial small subunit ribosomal RNA", at positions 524 to 776 of the family's 1533-position model. The record is from RNAcentral.